This 322-nucleotide unclassified non-coding RNA is filed under the name Coprinopsis calospora. RNAcentral's name for it is "partial internal transcribed spacer region". The stretch from base 1 to 46 matches the Rfam family "Eukaryotic small subunit ribosomal RNA", at positions 1786 to 1831 of the family's 1831-position model. Lineage: Eukaryota; Fungi; Basidiomycota; Agaricomycetes; Agaricales; Psathyrellaceae. The record is from RNAcentral.
AAGUCGUAACAAGGUUUCCGUAGGUGAACCUGCGGAAGGAUCAUUAUUGAAUAAAUCUGACGUGGUUGUCGCUGGCUCCCCCGGGAGAAUGUGCACGCCCGUCACCUUUAUUUCUCCACCUGUGCACACACUGUAGGCCUGGAUACCUCUCGUCGCAAGGCGGAUGCGUGGCUUGCUGUCGCUUUCGAAAGAAGGCCGGCUUGCCAUAAAUUUCCAGGUCUAUGAUUUCUUACACACCCCAAACUGAAUGUUAUGGAAUGUCAUCUCAAGGCCUUGUGCCUAUAAACCUAUACAACUUUCAGCAACGGAUCUCUUGGCUCUC